RNAcentral lists this small RNA (24 nucleotides) under Arabidopsis thaliana (thale cress). The record is from RNAcentral. Lineage: Eukaryota; Viridiplantae; Streptophyta; Magnoliopsida; Brassicales; Brassicaceae.
AAGAGAAUGGUUCAAGUUCGGAUC